AGAGUUUGAUCCUGGCUCAGGACGAACGCUGGCGGCGUGCCUAAUACAUGCAAGUCGAACGCGUCUUGGUUAUUGAUGUUGGAUGCUUGCAUUUAACUGAUUUAACAUUGAGACGAGUGGCGAACUGGUGAGUAACACGUGGGUAACCUGCCCUUGGAGUAGGGGAUAACACUUGGAAACAGGUGCUAAUACCGUAUAACAACCAAAACCACCUGGUUUUGGUUUAAAAGAUGGCUUCGGCUAUCACUUUAGGAUGGACCCGCGGCGUAUUAGCUUGUUGGUAAGGUAACGGCCUACCAAGGCAAUGAUACGUAGCCGACCUGAGAGGGUAAUCGGCCACAUUGGGACUGAGACACGGCCCAAACUCCUACGGGAGGCAGCAGUAGGGAAUCUUCCACAAUGGACGAAAGUCUGAUGGAGCAACGCCGCGUGAGUGAUGAAGGGUUUCGGCUCGUAAAACUCUGUUGUUGGAGAAGAACAGGUGUGAGAGUAACUGUUCACAUCUUGACGGUAUCCAACCAGAAAGCCACGGCUAACUACGUGCCAGCAGCCGCGGUAAUACGUAGGUGGCAAGCGUUGUCCGGAUUUAUUGGGCGUAAAGCGAGCGCAGGCGGUUUCUUAGGUCUGAUGUGAAAGCCUUCGGCUUAACCGGAGAAGUGCAUCGGAAACCAGGAGACUUGAGUGCAGAAGAGGACAGUGGAACUCCAUGUGUAGCGGUGAAAUGCGUAGAUAUAUGGAAGAACACCAGUGGCGAAGGCGGCUGUCUGGUCUGUAACUGACGCUGAGGCUCGAAAGCAUGGGUAGCGAACAGGAUUAGAUACCCUGGUAGUCCAUGCCGUAAACGAUGAGUGCUAAGUGUUGGAGGGUUUCCGCCCUUCAGUGCUGCAGCUAACGCAUUAAGCACUCCACCUGGGGAGUACGACCGCAAGGUUGAAACUCAAAGGAAUUGACGGGGGCCCGCACAAGCAGUGGAGUAUGUGGUUUAAUUCGACGCAACGCGAAGAACCUUACCAAGUCUUG
RNAcentral lists this ribosomal RNA (1020 nucleotides) under uncultured bacterium. Its description in RNAcentral is "bacterial SSU rRNA". It matches the Rfam family "Bacterial small subunit ribosomal RNA", at positions 8 to 983 of the family's 1533-position model. The record is from RNAcentral.